GACGAACCGAGCGAACGUUGUUCGGAAUCACUGGGCUUAAAGGGCGCGUAGGCGGGUGCUCAAGUCCGGGGUGAAAUCCUCCAGCUCAACUGGAGAACUGCCUCGGAUACUGGGUGUCUCGAGGGUGGUAGGGGUAUGCGGAACUAUCGGUGGAGCGGUGAAAUGCGUUGAUAUCGAUAGGAACUCCGGUGGCGAAGGCGGCAUACUGGACCACCUCUGACGCUGAGGCGCGAAAGCCAGGGGAGCAAACGGG
Molecule: ribosomal RNA, 253 nt
Filed under: uncultured bacterium
Lineage: Bacteria
Also listed under: 1 other name
Description: partial 16S ribosomal RNA
Rfam family: Bacterial small subunit ribosomal RNA
Source: RNAcentral